RNAcentral lists this long non-coding RNA (2471 nucleotides) under Marmota monax (woodchuck). Lineage: Eukaryota; Metazoa; Chordata; Mammalia; Rodentia; Sciuridae. The record is from RNAcentral.
GAUCGCUCUUCAGGGAGGGAGGAGGGCUGCGGAGAAAACCAUCAAGAUGCUUGUACUUUCUCUCUUUCCUUGGCAAUCGGGAGCAGCUUUGCCCAAGAAGGGGACAUAAUCAGGCAUCAUUGUGGAUGUCACAGAUGGGAGGCGGGGGCCUGCCAGCUGGGUCACGUGACGCAAACAGGUCGAUUGGGUCCUCAAGCUCCAGAAGCACGUGGGUAGGAGGAUGUAGAGCGUGCACGAGCGUGUCCUGCAGACUCGUACACUAAAGAGCAUUUCCCUAAAGUUUAUUGCAUUGUUAAUCUUCGUUUCCUAAUAGGGCAAUUAACGUUGGAGAACAUAACUUGAUCCGCUGUUCAGAAGGAUUGCGGAGAAGUUUGGUUGUACUGUAAUAAGUAAAGCCCCUGUAUGACACGCAACUGGUGCCUCCAUGUGAGCUGUAUAUAUAUAUAUAUAUAUACGUUAUCCUAGUAUCUGGUGUGUCACAACUACAUAGCAAAGGUGUAUGCCGCACAGGGCCAAAGUUUAGUUUCAUUUGUGUUAAUUGGAUACUGUAUUCUCAUGAGGCUGCAACAGAAGCUCAAAACAAGUUGUUAAAAUGUUUCACCUCCCCUAUAACAUUGAGAUAUUGCGGCUCGGGAGGCUGAGGCAAAGUCAGCCUCAGCAAUUUAGCGAGGCCCUACCCAACUUGAGUGAGACUCUGUCUCCAAAAAAAAAAAAUGCUGGGGAUGUGGUUCAGUGGUUAAGCACCCCUGGCUGGGUUCAAUCCCCGAUAGAAAAGGGGAAGGGAAAUAGAAAAAGGCAUUUAAAAAUUGGAUUAUUAGGUAUGGAAACCAAAAAUGAGGCUUACAUACGUUUAAAUCUGAAAACUAACAUUUAAAACACAACUGAAGCCAGAGUGAUGAUGUUCCCUUUAAGUCUGUUCAUAUUCCUGACAACCAUUUAGAGAUACUGCCGCCAGUUUUACAGAUAGAAUUCAUUAGCGUAGUAACCUGCCCCCAAAAUAGUAUUAACUGGCAGAGUCAGAUGCUAAUCUAAAUCUUUUUGGCUUGUAAGUACAUAUUCUCACAACAUAUUAACACUAGUGGAAAUACUCCAGAGGGGGAGUAAUGUACAGUUAUACUUACGGAUGAAUACUGCAUGGCUUUUGGCAUGUUUUUUUGUGGGGGUGAAGGGGGUGCGGUUGUUGUUACAGUGUCAUUCCAAACCAUUGGACUUUUUGGACAGGAACAGGAUACUAAUUAUUGGGCCAGACUAGUCCAAUAAUAACUUUGUUUGUACCUCCUCGCAGUUUAUAAAAGUGUAGCCAGAAUUUUAUAAUACAUACAAGGUUUCCUCUUCAUUUAUUAAGGAAUUCUACUGUAAAUACUAAAUUAAAAAGCAUGAAACUUUUGCCUUUAUGAAACAGAAACAUGCCACUCUCUUUGGAGAGAGAUUCCUAACACCAAGUAUGUAUAAUGAACACCUCGCACACAUUAGAACCUCCAUACAUGUUUUGCUUAUUGAAUGAAUGAAUGAUCAUAUAACUGAUGUCCUUGUCAACCUUUCUUCCAUACUUGGCAGAGGCUUCAUAUGCUCUUUUGAAAACACUAAUCUGGCUUUUUAUAUCCUUCAGUGAUUCUCAAUUUAAGUGUUCAGAUAAAGCCCACACUCCAUUCAUUUGUAGGGCGGGCACUCAAGCUCAGUCCUGAAUUGGCUUUCUCUAUAUGCCUCUUCUAGCCCCAUCUCUCUACUGCACAGCUACCAUUCUAUUCAUGCCAGAAGUACACAUCUGUUAUGCCUUUGCUGUCAGGUCUAAACACAUUGGGUGCGUCUCUAAUAUGCCAUAGGGAGCUGUAUGGCCUCUACCAUAGCACUAAAACUAAGAAUGUAUCUCUAAACCAAUGGUUCUCAAACAUUAGGGCGCAUCAAAAUCUAGGAAAGCUUGUUUUAAAAAAUAUUGUUGGGCCCACCUCUGAAAUUCCUGAUACAGCAGGUCUAGGUUGGGGUUUAAGAAUUUGCAUUUCUAACAUUUCCAGGUGAUGCAACUCUGAUGGUCUAGGGGCCUAUGCUUUGAGACCCAUUAUUCUAUGAAUUUUAAUUCCUUAGGGUACCGGAAAUGAGAAUGUACUAACAGAUUCUUUGUAAAUGAGUUGAACACAUGCAUGAAUACAAAUAAAUGUAGUUUUCUCUUUUCUGCUUUUUGUAUUAACAAAACCUGGUAUUGAAGACCUCACAAAAGAACAUCUUAUAGAUUUCCACUCCUCACAUAUUGCUUAUAAAAUUCUGUAAUUUGAAGUUUAUAGCAUUUCCCUAGACAAAGGCUAUUUGUGAUCUAGACACCUAUAAUCCUAAGUGAAUUUUUAAGAUUUAUUGAUUGAAUCAUGGUAUGUUAGAGCAGGAAGGGAGUCUUAGAGGCUGUUUGGCCCAUUUCCCCUACACCUGGAGGGGGGGACAUCCACCAGAUUUGUCCGCAGAAUUUAUACAGGAAGUUCUAC